This 255-nucleotide ribosomal RNA is filed under the name uncultured bacterium. Its description in RNAcentral is "partial 16S ribosomal RNA". It matches the Rfam family "Bacterial small subunit ribosomal RNA", at positions 526 to 779 of the family's 1533-position model. The record is from RNAcentral.
CGUAGGUGGCAAGCGUUGUCCGGAUUUACUGGGUGUAAAGGGUGCGCAGGCGGGCCAUUAAGUAGAAAGUGAAAGGUGGGGAGCUCAACUCCUACACUGCUUUCUAUACUGGUGGCCUUGAGUCUCGGAGAGGGAAGCGGAACGACACGUGUAGCGGUGAAAUGCGUUGAUAUGUGUCGGAACACCAAUGGCGAAAGCAGCUUCCUGGACGAGUACUGACGCUCAGGCACGAAAGCCAAGGUAGCAAACAGGAUU